RNAcentral lists this ribosomal RNA (460 nucleotides) under uncultured bacterium. RNAcentral's name for it is "partial 16S ribosomal RNA". It matches the Rfam family "Bacterial small subunit ribosomal RNA", at positions 338 to 795 of the family's 1533-position model. The record is from RNAcentral.
CCUACGGGAGGCAGCAGUGAGGAAUAUUGGUCAAUGGGCGGGAGCCUGAACCAGCCAAGUCGCGUGAGGGAAGACGGUCCUAUGGAUUGUAAACCUCUUUAGGCGGGGAGCAAUGCCGGGCACGUGUGCCCGGAGGGAGAGUACUUGCAGAAUAAGCAUCGGCUAACUUCGUGCCAGCAGCCGCGGUAAUACGAGGGUUGCGAGCGUUAUCCGGUUUUAUUGGGGUUAAAGGGGGCGUAGGCGGAAUUAUAAGUCAGCGGUAAAAUGUCGGGGCUCAACCCGGGCCGGCCGUUGAAACUGGGGAUCUUGAGUGGGCGAGAGGUAUGCGGAAUGCGUGGUGUAGCGGUGAAAUGCAUAGAUAUCACGCAGAACUCCGGUUGCGAAGGCAGCAUACCGGCGCCCGACUGACGCUGAGGCACGAAAGCGUGGGGAUCGAACAGGAUUAGAUACCCUUGUAGUC